Molecule: long non-coding RNA, 699 nt
Organism: Engraulis encrasicolus (European anchovy)
Lineage: Eukaryota; Metazoa; Chordata; Actinopteri; Clupeiformes; Engraulidae
Exons: 3
Source: RefSeq, a predicted model, not a curated record
ACGAGCGGAAGUGUUAUUGUAGCCAUUUCGACCGUGCCACAACGAUGCCGACAGCUCUCUUUGCCACCCCUACAACGUGCUUGUUCAAGCAGCUCCUUUUCUUUCAGGUUUUGUGCUUAGAAAGAGUGACAUGAUGCAGGAUGGAGUUGCGAGGAGUUCCCGGACACGGUCAGAGAUGGCUGGAACAGUCGGAUGGAUUUGCAAUCAUGCAAUAAAUGCCCACAUAAGACGCCAUGGUCAAAUGGUUGGAGAUCGUUGAGAGUUUGCAGCUAUUGAUGAAAGUUGUUUCCUUAAUAAAAGCAAGUAUCACCACAGAAGGGCCGGUGCAACAUGGCGACGGAAAAAGUGGGUAUUAAGAAUAUUAGGAGUAGGUGACCGCCAGAAACAUCCUGUCUUGUGGCUGGUGUGGUUAAACAAGUGCGUCCGGGAACCACCGUCAUCAGUGACCAAUGGGGCACUUACAGGAGUGCAUUGACUGCGACAGGCUACAGGCACUUCACAGUGAACCACUGUCAGUAGUUUGCGGAUCCAAACACCUUGCGCGCCUCCCAGUAUGUCAACCCCAGCUUUCUCUGUGGACCAUGCAACUUGGACUUUCCGAGUUUCAUAUAGGACAAUGCAUCUUGCUCUGCAUCUGUAAACCAUGGAUUCAUCUUUUGGACAUUUUCAGGAGAAUGGCUGUGUGUGUGUGUGCGUGUG